Molecule: long non-coding RNA, 430 nt
Filed under: Drosophila guanche
Lineage: Eukaryota; Metazoa; Arthropoda; Insecta; Diptera; Drosophilidae
Source: RNAcentral
CAUUAUUCUCGGCCCUUCCAAUUCUCCCUAUGAGGGAGGGCACUUUAAAUUAGAUAUAUUAUUUCCAGAUAACUACCCGUAUGUCCCGCCUCAUGUACAAUUUACGACUCAGAUUUACCACUGCAACAUCACCAGUGGCGGCCACAUAUGCCUGGACAUACUAUCGAACAACUGGUCGCCUAUCUUGACGGCAGAUAAAGUUCUCCUAUCGAUCAUGUCGCUGCUAGCAGAUCCCAAUCCUGACGACCCCAUGGAAAUCGUAGUUGCCAACAUGUACAAGAGGGACCGAGAGCAGCACGACCGAGUCGCCAGAGAGUGGACCACACUCUACGCCAUGCCAUAAGUUCUAUUUUGAUAAGCAUGCACAUAAUGCACAGUAACACCACCCAGAAAUUUAUACCCAUAUUCAUACAAAUAUCAGAAUUCUUAU